This 376-nucleotide ribosomal RNA is filed under the name uncultured bacterium. Its description in RNAcentral is "bacterial SSU rRNA". It matches the Rfam family "Bacterial small subunit ribosomal RNA", at positions 362 to 757 of the family's 1533-position model. The record is from RNAcentral.
UAUUGGACAAUGGGCGAAAGCCUAAUCCAGCAAUGCCGCGUGAGUGAUGAAGGCCCUAGGGUUGUAAAGCUCUUUUACCCGGGAAGAUAAUGACUGUACCGGGAGAAUAAGCCCCGGCUAACUCCGUGCCAGCAGCCGCGGUAAUACGGAGGGGGCUAGCGUUGUUCGGAAUUACUGGGCGUAAAGCGCACGUAGGCGGCUUUGUAAGUCAGAGGUGAAAGCCUGGAGCUCAACUCCAGAACUGCCUUUGAGACUGCAUCGCUUGAAUCCAGGAGAGGUCAGUGGAAUUCCGAGUGUAGAGGUGAAAUUCGUAGAUAUUCGGAAGAACACCAGUGGCGAAGGCGGCUGACUGGACUGGUAUGACGCUGAGUGCGAA